This 449-nucleotide ribosomal RNA is filed under the name Ureaplasma diversum. Its description in RNAcentral is "bacterial LSU rRNA". It matches the Rfam family "Bacterial large subunit ribosomal RNA", at positions 1438 to 1893 of the family's 2925-position model. The record is from RNAcentral. Lineage: Bacteria; Bacillati; Mycoplasmatota; Mycoplasmoidales; Mycoplasmoidaceae.
CCUGUACCUAUGUAUUGUGUGAUGGAGUGACGGAGAAGGUUAUUAUGUGCCAGUAAUCGGAUUCUGGUUUAAAUAACAAGGUUGACAAAUAGGCAAAUCCGUUUGUCAUAAGACUAAGUUAUGAGUACGAUCGACCCCUUCGGGCAGUAGAGAAGACAUAUAUAUCAUGCUUCCAAGAAAAGCUUCUAGCGUUAAACAAUAUGUAGUUCGUACCGAGAACGAACACACGUAGUCAAGGAGAAUAUCCUAAGGUUAGCGAGUUAACUACAGUUAAGGAACUCUGCAAAUUGAUCCCGUACGUUAGCAAUAAGGGAUGCUCACUUAACGGUGAGCCGCAGUGAAUAGCGAGGGGGGACUGUUUAACAAAAACACAGCUCUAUGCUAAGUCGUAAGACGAUGUAUAUGGGGUGACACCUGCCCAAUGCUGUAAGGUUAAAGAAGAAUGUUAG